GACGAGCCACACAAACGUUAUUCGGAAUUACUGGGCUUAAAGGGUGCGUAGGCUGCGCGGAAAGUUGGGUGUGAAAUCCCUCGGCUCAACCGAGGAACUGCGCCCAAAACUACCGUGCUCGAGGAAGAUAGAGGUGAGCGGAACUCACGGUGGAGCGGUGAAAUGCGUUGAUAUCGUGAGGAACACCCGUGGCGAAAGCGGCUCACUGGGUCUUAUCUGACGCUGAUGCACGAAAGCUAGGGGAGCAAACGGG
This 253-nucleotide ribosomal RNA is filed under the name uncultured bacterium. Its description in RNAcentral is "partial 16S ribosomal RNA". It matches the Rfam family "Bacterial small subunit ribosomal RNA", at positions 524 to 776 of the family's 1533-position model. The record is from RNAcentral.